Molecule: long non-coding RNA, 1267 nt
Organism: Lampris incognitus (smalleye Pacific opah)
Lineage: Eukaryota; Metazoa; Chordata; Actinopteri; Lampriformes; Lampridae
Exons: 3
Source: RefSeq, a predicted model, not a curated record
CUGCACCAAAGUUAUUUGAGCAGUGGCUUCUCAUGUAUGCAGAUAAAGUCCUCCACCUGGCAAGGCGGGACAGGAAACUUCUCCUGGACACGGACACAAUGACAUGAGAUGCCAAAGGAGAUUUGGCACUGAGGCUACUGGCAAUUCUUCUGCCACCCCCAGUGCAUAAAGUGGGGGGAAAAAACUAUGCACCCAACUCUUCAAGAGGCAAGGAAGGCCUUCAAUGACCUCCAGCCUUUGUCCUUGGGUUGCUGAAGCGUCAUGUGAUGUAGGCUGAAAGUUACAGGCUACCGAUUCCUGCAUGCGUGACAAACCCCGGAUAGGCCCCUCCUCGCGGUAUUGACCGGACAUCACUUGUGGAGUUCGCGUAACCUGGGCAGCACUCAGCUGGCUAAAGCCUAACGGGACCGCGUACAGGCGGUUAUAAAAAUCCCACACAUCCCUGGCUCGUAAGUGCCUAACACAAGUGGGCAGUCCGGAUUCCCAAUCCAACCAUCACGUGGGUGCAACCUGUGGCGGAUCCCAUCGUCUUCACUCUUGUGUUGCCAUGGAACUAGAUCCUCCCAGGCCAAGCAAUGUGGACCAGCGUCGCAACCUGAUCACCACUUUAAUUUAGGCUUUAGCGAAUGGCUCCAAGUUUUUAAGCACACACCUUAAUCUCUUGGAAUGGAUCCUCGGACUUGAGAGACGCCAACAACGACGACGACGACGGUUGUCCUUGUGUUGCAAGUUGGAACCAAUAUGGUGGAGUACCUCCAACAGGCAGAGGUCAACAGGCCAUACCCCUAUGUCCUUGCCCUAGGAGAUGAAGGUUUUUGCUCACAGGCUUUCAUUGUCCUUGUGGGUCAAGCAGUGGAGCAGAACUCCUUGCUAGGGGCAGUGGAUGUAUGCUUUAAAAAAGUUUAUGUUUUUGACAUCAAUUUUCCAAAAUCUUGUGCCUCAGCCUGGGAGUUCCUCCAGGAGGCUGUGUAUGGGCUGGGGACCAAACCACCCUCCCCUACAGUGGCAUUUUUAAAAUCAGCACUGGCAUGUGCAUAACCAAUUUAUUUUGAGAUGUGUGCUAGAUAACUGCUGCACACAGGAUGACCUCACACACUGAAUAUAAACUAAAUGAAAUAAUCUAGUAGCCUAUGUCUUGAAUGAAUGAAUGUACAACUAAUUAAAUGUUAUAGAAUAAAAAGGUUAUAAAAUAUGGUAUGGCGCAUUUUCUUACUUAUUUUCCUUGUUAAAUUGUUUAAAUGUAUAUUGGUUGAUACCAUCUGACCCU